This 431-nucleotide ribosomal RNA is filed under the name uncultured bacterium. RNAcentral's name for it is "partial 16S ribosomal RNA". It matches the Rfam family "Bacterial small subunit ribosomal RNA", at positions 30 to 507 of the family's 1533-position model. The record is from RNAcentral.
CGAACGCUGGCGGCAUGCCUAACACAUGCAAGUCGAACGAAGCCUUCGGGCUUAGUGGCGCCCGGGUGCGUAACGCGUGGGAAUCUGCCCCUUGCUUCGGAAUAACAGUUAGAAAUGACUGCUAAUACCGGAUGAAGUCUUCGGACCAAAGAUUUAUCGGCAAGGGAUGAGCCCGCGUAGGAUUAGGUAGUUGGUGGGGUAAAGGCCUACCAAGCCGACGAUCCUUAGCUGGUCUGAGAGGAUGAUCAGCCACACUGGGACUGAGACACGGCCCAGACUCCUACGGGAGGCAGCAGUGGGGAAUAUUGGACAAUGGACGCAAGUCUGAUCCAGCAAUGCCGCGUGAGUGAUGAAGGCCUUAGGGUUGUAAAGCUCUUUUACCAGGGAUGAUAAUGACAGUACCUGGAGAAUAAGCUCCGGCUAACUCCGUG